This is a long non-coding RNA of Acipenser ruthenus (sterlet), 1356 nucleotides long. RefSeq lists it as uncharacterized. The transcript is spliced from 2 exons. Lineage: Eukaryota; Metazoa; Chordata; Actinopteri; Acipenseriformes; Acipenseridae. The record is from RefSeq and is a predicted model, not a curated record.
GGAAGCCUGCUGGGUUACUGAGUGCACUCUCCUCCGCAGAGACCACCUCCGUGCAGAGAGCUGUCACAAGUUCAGUUCCAGAUAACAGGUUAUUGAACCUUCAGUGUAUUUGUUUCAGUAGCUUCUCCUAAAGGGAGCUCCAAGAAGUGCUUUGAAUUUAGCAGCGAGUUUUACUCCCCAAGCAAGUUUGAGGACCUGAUUGGUAGGAAACAGACCAAGACUGCAAAGACACAUAUUCGCCAAAAGGGGGCUCCAUCUGCCAGGAGAACUGAGCAGUCUCAGUUUUGUCAGAACCCCCCCGUCUGCUCCGAAGGGUGCUGGAGUGACAGAGAACACCAGCUCUACUGUGGAUAUCUCCUUCUUCUCCUCCUCUCUCACCUCCACCUCCCUGUCCAACAUCACGGCAACCAAGAGCAGCCAGACCGCAGGUAACUGAUUGGAGCUUUCCACACAGCACAAAUGGGAGGAGAGACUGCAGUGUAGAUCUGGGGUCAAUUACAUUUGGAACUGUGCAAUUUGUAAUUUGUGCAAUGUAAUUGUAGCUGAACAUUGGCACACCUUUGUAAUUGAAAUUGUAAUUAUACUAUAUAAUUGAUCAAUUACAGUUCAGCUAUGCAUUUAUUUGUCAUACAAUCAUUAUUCUUGUAUUUUCAACCACUUUUAGUGGCCCCAUUUGAAGUUGUAUAGUGUGUUUCUGUAUUUGUACCUGUGAUUAUUGCUUGGUUAUUUAGAAUAAAUAGAGUAUACAUAGAGUUCAUUAGUUGUUUAUGUUACUUUUUAGUAUAAUUAUAAUUGUAGUUACUGCAGCAUAAUUGUAACUGUAAUUGGAAUUGAACAGAGUGUCAUUGUAAUUUGAAUUGCAAGUUCAGCAAACAAGUCUGCUGUAAUUGAACAAGCCUGCUGUAAUUGUAAUUGAACAAGCCUGCUGUAAUUGUAAUUGAAUGAGCCUGCUGUAAUUGUAAUUGAACGAGUCUGCUGUAAUUGUAAUUGAACAAGCCUGCUGUAAUUGUAAUUGAACAAGCCUGCUGUAGUUGUAAUUGAAUGAGCCUGCUGUAAUUGUAAAGGUCUGCUGUAAUUGUAAUUGAACAAGCCUGCUGUAAUUGUAAUUGAACAAGCCUGCUGUAAUUGUAAUUGAACAAGCCUGCUGUAGUUGUAAUUGAAUGAGCCUGCUGUAAUUGUAAAGGUCUGCUAUAAUUAUAAUUGAACAAGCCUGCUGUAAUUGUAAUUGAACAAGCCUGCUGUAAUUGUAAUUGAAUGAGCAUGCUAUAAUUGUAAUUGUAAUGGUCUGCUGUAAUUGUAAUUGUAAUGGUCUGUUGUAGUGUCUAAACAGUGAGCCGAUUCAAUUACAUUUUCAUA